GCUACUACGUGCAGCAGGCGCGUAUACGUAGGGUGCGAGCGUAUCGAUACUGGCGUAAGCGUGCGCAGCGUUUGUAAGACAGGCGUGAAUCCCCGGGCUCAACCUGGGAACUGCGCUUGUGACUGCAAGGCUAGAGUAUGGCAGAGGGGGGUGGAAUUCACGUGUAGCAGUGAAAUGCGUAGAGAUGUGGAGGAACACCAAUGGCGAAGGCAGCCCCCUGGGCCAAUACUGACGCUCAUGCACGAAAGCGUGGGUGGCAAACAGGAUUAGAUACCCUGGUAGUCACGCCCUAAACGAUGUCAACUAGGUGUUGGGUGGGUAAAACCAUUUAGUACCGUAGCUAACGCGUGAAGUUGACCGCCUGGGGAGUACGGCCGCAAGGUUAAAACUCAAAGGAAUUGACGGGGACCCGCACAAGCGGUGGAUGAUGUGGAUUAAUUCGAUGCAACGCGAAAAACCUUACCUACCCUUGACAUGUCUGGAAUCCUGAAGAGAUUUGGGAGUGCCCGAAAGGGAACCGGAACACAGGUGCUGCAUGGCUGUCGUCAGCUCGUGUCGUGAGAUGUUGGGUUAAGUCCCGCAACGAGCGCAACCCUUGUCGUUAAUUGCCAUCAUUUAGUUGGGCACUUUAACGAGACUGCCGGUGACAAACCGGAGGAAGGUGGGGAUGACGUCAAGUCCUCAUGGCCCUUAUGGGUAGGGCUUCACACGUCAUACAAUGGUCGGUACAGAGGGUUGCCAAGCCGCGAGGUGGAGCCAAUCCCAGAAAGCCGAUCGUAGUCCGGAUCGUAGUCUGCAACUCGACUGCGUGAAGUCGGAAUCGCUAGUAAUCGCGGAUCAGCAUGUCGCGGUGAAUACGUUCCCGGGUCUUGUACACACCGCCCGUCACACCAUGGGAGCGGGUUCCGCCAGAAGUAGGUAGCCUAACCGCAAGGAGGGCGCUUACCACGGCGGGGUUCGUGACUGGGGUGAAGUCGUAACAAGGUAACCAAUC
RNAcentral lists this ribosomal RNA (994 nucleotides) under uncultured beta proteobacterium. Its description in RNAcentral is "bacterial SSU rRNA". It matches the Rfam family "Bacterial small subunit ribosomal RNA", at positions 496 to 1505 of the family's 1533-position model. The record is from RNAcentral. Lineage: Bacteria; Pseudomonadati; Pseudomonadota; Betaproteobacteria.